GAUGAACGCUGGCGGCGUGCCUAAUACAUGCAAGUCGAGCGAACAGACGAGGAGCUUGCUCCUCUGACGUUAGCGGCGGACGGGUGAGUAACACGUGGAUAACCUACCUAUAAGACUGGGAUAACUUCGGGAAACCGGAGCUAAUACCGGAUAAUAUAUUGAACCGCAUGGUUCAAUAGUGAAAGACGGUUUUGCUGUCACUUAUAGAUGGAUCCGCGCCGCAUUAGCUAGUUGGUAAGGUAACGGCUUACCAAGGCGACGAUGCGUAGCCGACCUGAGAGGGUGAUCGGCCACACUGGAACUGAGACACGGUCCAGACUCCUACGGGAGGCAGCAGUAGGGAAUCUUCCGCAAUGGGCGAAAGCCUGACGGAGCAACGCCGCGUGAGCGAUGAAGGUCUUCGGAUCGUAAAACUCUGUUAUUAGGGAAGAACAAAUGUGUAAGUAACUAUGCACGUCUUGACGGUACCUAACCAGAAAGCCACGGCUAACUACGUG
Molecule: ribosomal RNA, 497 nt
Filed under: uncultured bacterium
Lineage: Bacteria
Description: partial 16S ribosomal RNA
Rfam family: Bacterial small subunit ribosomal RNA
Source: RNAcentral